This is a long non-coding RNA of Diachasmimorpha longicaudata, 1030 nucleotides long. RefSeq lists it as uncharacterized. The record is from RefSeq and is a predicted model, not a curated record. The transcript has 4 exons. Lineage: Eukaryota; Metazoa; Arthropoda; Insecta; Hymenoptera; Braconidae.
CUCGUCAUAUCGCACAAGCAACCAGUAAUACAUAAAACUGAAUUUUCUCAUAGAUUGUUCAGUGUGGUGCCUACGACGUCGGCGAAAAUGUUUUUCGGAAACCUGUACACAAUUUCUUUCCUCUAUAUCUCCUUUAUAUUGUACAAUGUUGUUGAAGACGUGUACGGUGAUCGAGAACCAAGGAUGGCGAAUGGCGAUUAUGCUACAGCUGAAGAAUUUCCAUCAAAUGUCUUCAUCCGUGCUGAAUCCAUCCAGCGUAAACGAUAUGAAACAGUAUUCUCUACUUCUCAUUGUGGUGGAUCACUGCUUACCCUCUUUCAUAUUCUCACUGCUGCCCACUGUACUUUGAGCUCCAAUCAAUCUCUUAGCUCCGUGUACCACUACCUUCCACAUGAAAUUUUUGUCGCACUAGGAGUUAAUAGUGUGCAGGAAAUUGUCGAUCAGUACAGUGUCAGGCGAAUAUAUAGACACCAACAAUACCGCAUACCUACCCAUGCUAAUCCUUGGGGAAUUUACGAUAUAGCCAUUCUCGAGAUACAUGAACCGAUAAAUCUAGGUCCUAAACAACACAUUAUUAAUCUGCCAUGCUAUGAUCCAGAGGUGGGUGAUGAAGGUAUAGUGCUGGGAUCCGGACUGACCUCCUCCGAUCUCGCUUCAAUGGGAAAAUUGAAAAAAGGUCUAUUUAAAGUAGUAAACUGCCAGGAUUGGGUGAUAAUUGGCAUUAUCUGCGUUUCGAGCACAACCGCUCAGGUGAUGAAAGGUGACAGCGGUUCUGGCUUCAUAAUCAACAAUAGAAUUGCUGGCAUAGUCUCGUUAGUACCACCCGGGGAGAACUAUUAUAUUUUAACGAAUACCUUUCACUAUUUUGAAUGGAUUUUGAAAAUUAUUGGCCUACCGGAUGAAUUCGACUUCCUGAGUGGAGUUUACUGACGAGUGGGGAUGCAUACAGUAAAGUGAAUCUUUGUCACACUGUGUCAAUUCGAAAUUUGUAGAGAUGAAUUGGAAAUAAAAAACUCUUUUUGUUCCUUUA